GAUGAAGAACGCAGCGAAAUGCGAUAAGUAGUGUGAAUUGCAGAAGUACCGUGAAUCAUCGAAUCUUUGAACGCAAAUUGCACUCUCUGGUAUUCCGGGGAGUAUGCCUGUUUGAGGGUCGCUUAACAAACCAUCGAUUUCGUUGCUUUUUUUUUUUAAAAAAGUGAUGUUUAUCGGAUUUGAGCCGUCUUUUUUUUUUAUAUUUAAGUGGCUUAAAAUUGAUUUUUUUGGUACGAUCGAAGCGUAUUUUUAUGAUCAAUUUUUGGUUAAAGAAACGCACACGUACCGUUAUUUAUAUGAUGUAAUACGUUUGACUAUUGGAUUUAGUUCAUUCGUAUACGAUAUUUUUCAAUAUUUGACCUCAAAUCAGGUAAGAACACCCGCUGAACUUAAGCAUAUCAAUAAGCGGAGGA
RNAcentral lists this unclassified non-coding RNA (413 nucleotides) under soil metagenome. RNAcentral describes it as "partial contains 5.8S ribosomal RNA, internal transcribed spacer 2, and large subunit ribosomal RNA". The stretch from base 1 to 121 matches the Rfam family "5.8S ribosomal RNA", at positions 35 to 154 of the family's 154-position model. The record is from RNAcentral.